GAUGCCCACACCUGCUGGUCUCACCGCUAGGGCCUGGGCAUCACAGGCAGGGGGAAUGGGGAGGGGACGGUAGCGUCAGCCUACACCCACACGCAGUUUCCUGAUAAAAGGUCCUUUGGAAACUUUGAUUCUCUUCUCACCAAGUUGAACGGAGAUGUGUUCCCAUAGUAAGAGUGAGGCCCCUGCAUUUGCUGCCCUCGGUUUUCCCAACUAACACCAGGGCCUCCCCCCUGUACCCCAUUCAUAUGCCUCAGAAGCUGACAAUGACUGUUGGGCUUUUCCAAUGAAUACCAGAACACCAUUUCCUGCAGCCUGAAAAGAAGACAGUAUAAUUGUUUGGCAGCAAGAGACAGGAUCUCGCUGCGUUGCUCAGACUGGUCUCGAACUCCUGGGCUUAAGGGAUUCUCCUGCCUCAAUCACAGCCUCCCAAGUAGCUGAGAUUAAAAGUGCUCACCACCGUGCCAGCGAGUUCAGUUUUUGAGCCAGGUGCGGUGGCUCAUGCCUGUAAUGCCAGCACUUUGGACAGCCAAGGCUGGUGAGAUCACUUGAAGCCAGGAGUUCAAGACCAGCCUGGGCAACAUGUUGAAACCCCAUCUCUACUAAAAAUACAAAAAUUAGCCAGGUGCAGUGGCACAUGCCUGUAGUCCCAGCUACUGGAGAAGCAAAGGCAGGAGGAUUUCUUGAGCCCAGGAGGUGGAGGUGUCAGUGAGCUGAGAUCAAGCGACUGCACCCCAGCCUGGGUGACAGAGUGAAACCCUGUCUCUAAAUAAAUAAAUAAAUAUAUAAAACUAAAUAA
Molecule: long non-coding RNA, 796 nt
Filed under: Homo sapiens (human)
Lineage: Eukaryota; Metazoa; Chordata; Mammalia; Primates; Hominidae
Description: novel transcript
Source: RNAcentral